CAGGUGCGUCUCCUCCCCGUAGCCUGCCUCUCCACCUCCUUUUGCUCCCCCCUCGUCCCCACCGUCAGCCUGCUUCAGCCUCCAGUUAAUGAAAUGUGGCGAGAGGCCGCACAGACAGCUGUCAGACCCCUCAUUUCUCCGCUGGGAUAUUGGAUCCCGCGCUGGGAGACCGACAGGACUCUUAAGUGAAAUCCAACCCAUCCACAUCAAAUCCAGAAAAGCUCCAAGGCUGGGCAAACCCGAAUGGAGCCGAGAAGAAGUUCAAGGACUUCGGGUUUUUACAGCGGAUUCUUCGGCGCUACCUCCCAGCUGACAAAUCAACAUCUCAAUCUGACAAUUAGUGGUCGAGGUGGGGGGAGAGGGUCCCUCGUCACCGGGCUGGCUUGGCCCUCCGGGCGGGAGGCAGAGAGGUGGGCGGUGCUGGCAGUGAUGAACGACUCCGGGGGGGGCCCACGGCCGGGAGCUCGCAUUCAUUACUCGCCUGACAGGCGGGCGGCGGACCGGGCGGGCCUCGAGUGGACGAGCGAGGAAAGAGGCCAGUGGCAGGAGGGAGAGAAAGGGAGACGUUUAACAGCCCCAACGCCCGGUCAGCUCCCGAUUCUUCCCCUGGACCCUGGUACUUGACUUCCUUGAGCUCGGUCUCUCAGCUGUAGGAGGGCUCUGGUUGCAGAAUUUGGGGAGCAGGGGGGCGGGACCUAAGCCCUUUCUCAGGUUAGGCGAUUUAAGGUCUAAGAUGUCAAGAAACGAUGUGGACAGGCCUUAGGACUAGGCGCUUCAGCCUGACCUGGGAGGAAUUGCGCGUGUCUGCCCACACAGAGGUGCUGUGUGUGACAAGGAUUGAUGGGUGUGGAUCGGGAGUGGGGACCAGUGACUGUGAGUGUCAGUGUUAGGGAUGUGUCCGCCUGAUUUUGUCAGUGGAGGUGUGAGCUGCCUGUGUCUGAGGAUGAGCUGCCACCUCUCCCUGCUUGUCUCUGUGCCCACCCCCCAAAACACACCACUUGCUGUCAGCUCUCUGUCUCCAGUUCUGUAGGAAAUGGCAGUGUGCACGGUGACAGCUGAGGUGUGCUGCUGGGGGUCGGGGGAGAGAUGUUAACUGUGAGAAUGCUGGUCUGGACAACUGCAUCCUUCCAUCUGCCCCCUCCCCCCGCACCCCCCCCCAAAUCGUCCCUUCCCCAGACCUCCUGAAAGUAGUGGAAUUUUUCCCCCCACAAAAUCUUGAAGACUUAGUCGCUGAGUCCUGGGGAAGGAAGUGGUACCAGUUUUCUACAGUCCACACCCCUACACAUACACACAAUCUCCAUCGCAUAUACAAACAGUCUGCAAUACAAGUGUGGUCUCCAACCCAUCUGGUUUCCCCAGGCAGGUGGUGGUCAGAGAGGAGGAGGUGGAUCUCAAGAAGGGAAGGGGCAGACCAUCAGGCCCACAAGAGAGCCCACCUCUUUGGGGCCAGGGCUAGUGGCCCCUGGGACCCUUACCUUUUGGAUCUCAGGUCCAGUUACUAUUUGACACCUUGGGAGGAUAAUGCUAAUGAUAAUCUAAUUCCUCCUCCCUAGCAACUCUCUUUCAUCACCUGGCUUUGUCUCUACUCCCUUCCCUCACUCUCAAACACACCAAAAGGUUGAGCAUGGCCUCCUUCCCAGGCCUGAAUCUCCUGGGUCUAUAGGGCAGAGAGUUGGGGUGAUUUUGGCUCUCUGGUCCCCUGCUUUGUUCACUGUGUCUUUCAGCCACCUUUCCGUUGACUUGUUCUUCUUCAUAGCUAGGGUAUCUCUUGGAGCCUCCAGACCUUUGUCUUUGCACCCAUCCUUGUGUCUGCAUGUCUCCACGUUUAGGAAUCUCUUCCAAAUCUGUCUCCCUACAUUUUGAGGUGUCUCUUUGUUCUCCCUCUGGGAAUACCCCUGCGCACCAGUGAGGCUCAUGUGGAUGGGGAAAAGGAGUAGGGCUACCUUCCUGCCCCCUUCCAGGGGCAACUGCAACCCAAGGAUGGCCACGCAGUAUCAGGGCCCGGGAAGGGGGGUCGCUUCUUAUUCAGGGCACAGGCACCUUGGACCCUGCCCGGCUGUCCGCCUCCCCCCCCACCCCCACCCCCAACCCCCCGCAAGCCGCCCUCCUCCAGGCCCCGAACCCUCCGCCCACUUGGAAAAGGCAAAUUUGACAUUUUUAAAUCCUG
Long non-coding RNA from Equus asinus (donkey), 2167 nucleotides. NCBI's taxonomy places the organism in Eukaryota, Metazoa, Chordata, Mammalia, Perissodactyla, Equidae. The record is from Ensembl.